AUACGGAGGAUCCGAGCGUUAUCCGGAUUUAUUGGGUUUAAAGGGAGCGUAGGUGGAUUGUUAAGUCAGUUGUGAAAGUUUGCGGCUCAACCGUAAAAUUGCAGUUGAAACUGGCAGUCUUGAGUACAGUAGAGGUGGGCGGAAUUCGUGGUGUAGCGGUGAAAUGCUUAGAUAUCACGAAGAACUCCGAUUGCGAAGGCAGCUCACUAGACUGUUACUGACACUGAUGCUCGAAAGUGUGGGUAUCAAACAGGAUUAGAUACCCUGGUAGUCCACACAGUGAACGAUGAAUACUCGCCGUUUGCGAUAUACAGUAAGCGGCCAAGCGAAAGCAUUAAGUAUUCCACCUGGGGAGUACGCCGGCAACGGUGAAACUCAAAUGAAUUGACGGGG
This 393-nucleotide ribosomal RNA is filed under the name uncultured bacterium. RNAcentral describes it as "partial 16S ribosomal RNA". It matches the Rfam family "Bacterial small subunit ribosomal RNA", at positions 523 to 918 of the family's 1533-position model. The record is from RNAcentral.